UGGCCGGCUCUGUCCACUUUGUCUCUGGAUGGCUAUGGCAUUCACCGAUUCCCGGUUGCUUUGUCUGCCAAUUUUCUGAUGUGUGUAAGGCCCAGUUUGAUUAAAUUCCGUCACAUCAAAUAUUUAGACAUAUGCAUAAAGUAUUAAAUAUAGAUUAUUUAUGAAACUAAAAACACAACUAGUGAAUAAUUUACGAUACGAAUCUUUUAAACAUAAUUAGUUCAUGGUUAGACACAGGGGUGGAUCUAAAGGGAGGGCUAGGGGCUCUAGCUCCUACACCUAGUGCAUCAAUGAAAAUAUAGGAGGGUGAAAGAGAAAAAGAGGUGGAGAAAAGAAGAAAAAUAAAGAGAAAUGGAAGAAGAAGAAGAAGAAGAAGAAGAAGAAGAAGAAGAAGAAGAAGAAGAAGAAGACAUGAACCCCCUUCAAUUCUAUUCUAUAUGAGACACUAAAUGUCAAAUAAAAUAAAAAUUCAACAGUACUUGUUAAACUUUAACAUCUCUAAGCAGCACGUUAGUCAUUGCCAUGAGGCGAGGACACCGGUACCAGCAGCUCAGCACGAGGUGAGUGGAAGCUGGAUCAGUGUUCCCAUUGUACUUGCUCCCAAAAAUUUAGAAUGCAAAAGUUCAGUAGUUUUAAAAAAGUCAUUUUUCUUUUAUAUAAAAUAGUAUCGAUAUUUAUGGCUCCAACACAACGGUACACC
This 700-nucleotide long non-coding RNA is filed under the name Sorghum bicolor (sorghum). RNAcentral describes it as "long non-coding RNA (SBIC_LNC006454)". The record is from RNAcentral. Lineage: Eukaryota; Viridiplantae; Streptophyta; Magnoliopsida; Poales; Poaceae.